UGGGGAAUAUUGGACAAUGGGCGCAAGCCUGAUCCAGCCAUGCCGCGUGGAUGAUGAAGGCCCUAGGGUUGUAAAGUCCUUUCGGCGGGGAAGAUAAUGACGGUACCCGCAGAAGAAGCCCCGGCUAACUUCGUGCCAGCAGCCGCGGUAAUACGAAGGGGGCUAGCGUUGCCCGGAAUCACUGGGCGUAAAGCGCACGUAGGCGGCUUUCUAAGUCGGUGGUGAAAUCCUGGAGCUCAACUCCAGAACUGCCUCCGAUACUGGAGAGCUCGAGUCCGGGAGAGGUGAGUGGAACUGCGAGUGUAAAGGUGAAAUUCGUAGAUAUUCGCAAGAACACCAGUGGCGAAGGCGGCUCACUGGCCCGGUACUGACGCUGAGGUGCGAAAGCGUGGGGAGCAAACA
RNAcentral lists this ribosomal RNA (402 nucleotides) under uncultured bacterium. Its description in RNAcentral is "bacterial SSU rRNA". It matches the Rfam family "Bacterial small subunit ribosomal RNA", at positions 355 to 774 of the family's 1533-position model. The record is from RNAcentral.